GUUCUUUCCAACUCUGCUGCGCCUUUCUCAGUAUCAACAUUACCCUCAGGCUGGCAGCAAACUGGCAGCUGCUCCAGAAGAUUUUGCCUCUGAUUUUGCUGGCUAUGACUGAGUCACCUGUCCUUCACUGAACCAAAUAUUACCGAAGAGAGUGAUUGAUAUUUACUGAAAUUAAGCUCAUCCCUAGAGCUGGAUUUGGGAUCAGCUUCUCCUGAAAACACAUGACUGAAAGGACUCAGGAAGGUUACCUGUCUCUGCUGAGAAGUUAAAUAUUGAGCCCUGACUAACUUAAAAAGAGUUCCACCUUCGUGAUGACCUUAAGAAAAGUAUUCUUUUGCCCCCAUGCAUGUGAAUAUUGAAGACACCUAACAAGAAACCAAUUGAGCCCUUUUGGCUACAUAGAAACCAAAUCAUUUAACUUAAAAAGUGGCUGAGCCAGUUGAGGUGAUAGCCAUGGAAAAUGGCCUGGGGAAAAGAUGGCUUUACUGAGGCAAAGUGGAAUGUGCCUCUGUAAAGCUGUGGGUUAUAGAGGAAAAAUGAGACUUGGAGAUGUAAAGAAAUUUGAAUCCAGUCAUUUUGCCAAUGACACAAAAGGAGCACGAUUCUUGGAGAGGAUCGAAGUGCUAAGAGCCGAGCCUAAAUCCAAUCGUAUCCCAAGCCUGCGAUAUGACCCGUCCACUUACAUUAGCCUCCAAGGCCACGUGACACCACAUGUACGGGAGGAGGAGUAAGACCACUAACCAGCGGGGUCCUGAGACUAAUGAAAAGUUCGAAAGCACAGAGUUCCUGGUGGCCUUCCAAGUGUCAAUGUUACUACUUCCUAACUCCGAUCCAUCAUCUCUUUUGUGGACUGACCAAAUUUUUACUAAAUGGCUGCAAUAUGGAGAAUACAGGCAAAAACCUAAAGAA
Molecule: long non-coding RNA, 909 nt
Organism: Suricata suricatta (meerkat)
Lineage: Eukaryota; Metazoa; Chordata; Mammalia; Carnivora; Herpestidae
Exons: 5
Source: RefSeq, a predicted model, not a curated record